This 494-nucleotide ribosomal RNA is filed under the name uncultured bacterium. Its description in RNAcentral is "partial 16S ribosomal RNA". It matches the Rfam family "Bacterial small subunit ribosomal RNA", at positions 28 to 507 of the family's 1533-position model. The record is from RNAcentral.
GACGAACGCUGGCGGCGUGCUUAACACAUGCAAGUCGAACGGAAAGGCCUGCUUUCCCUUGUGGAUUGCGGGUACUCGAGUGGCGAACGGGUGAGUAACACGUGAGUGAUCUGCCCCCAACUUGGGUAUAAGCCUGGGAAACUGGGUCUAAUUCCCGAUAGGACUGCAGGGUGGUGCCUGUGGUGGAAAACGAUUUUCUAGUGGUUGGGGAUGAGCUCGCGGCCUAUCAGCUUGUUGGUGGGGUAAUGGCCUACCAAGGCGGCGACGGGUAGCCGGCCUGGGAGGGUGGACGGCCACAUUGGGACUGAGAUACGGCCCAGACUCCUACGGGAGGCAGCAGUGGGGAAGAUUGCACGAUGGGCGGAAGCCUGAGGCAGCGACGCCGCGUGGGGGAUGACGGCCUUCGGGUUGUAAACUCCUUUCGACCGCGAGGAAGCCACCUGGUUGGAAGGGUGGUGACGGUAGUGGUAGAAGAAGCACCGGCUAACUACGUG